Long non-coding RNA from Drosophila simulans, 273 nucleotides. RefSeq lists it as uncharacterized. The record is from RefSeq and is a predicted model, not a curated record. Lineage: Eukaryota; Metazoa; Arthropoda; Insecta; Diptera; Drosophilidae. The transcript has 2 exons.
GCGGGUGUUCCAACUGUGUGCUUGUGUGUGUGUGCAAAUGUCGCCCGAAUUAUGACGCAUACGAAAGUGCAGGCGCUAAAUAAAACCCGAAAUCGAAAGAAGUUGCAACUGCAAAGCAAAUGCUGAAAAUAAGUUAACAAAAAAUACAAAAAAAAAAAACGGUGGCAGAGCAAGAAGCAGAGUGCGUGCACUCGGCAAUUGCGUUUACUUGUGUGCGUGUGUGUGUGCGAAAUUAUAAAAUUAAACAUCGCGUCGCGCAACGCUGAAAAAAAA